This 483-nucleotide ribosomal RNA is filed under the name uncultured bacterium. Its description in RNAcentral is "partial 16S ribosomal RNA". It matches the Rfam family "Bacterial small subunit ribosomal RNA", at positions 28 to 507 of the family's 1533-position model. The record is from RNAcentral.
GACGAACGCUGGCGGCGUGCUUAACACAUGCAAGUCGAACGCUGAAGCUCAGCUUUUGUUGGGUGGAUGAGUGGCGAACGGGUGAGUAACACGUGAGUAACCUGCCCCCUUCUUUGGGAUAACGCCCGGAAACGGGUGCUAAUACUGGAUAUUCACUGGUCUUCGCAUGGGGGUUGGUGGAAAGGGUUUUUCUGGUGGGGGAUGGGCUCGCGGCCUAUCAGCUUGUUGGUGGGGUAAUGGCCUAACAAGGCUUUGACGGGUAGCCGGCCUGAGAGGGUGAACGGUCACAUUGAGACUGAGAUGCGGCCCAGACUCGUCCGGGGGGCAGCAGUGGGGACUAUUGGCCAAUGGGCGAAAGCCUGAUGCAGCGACGCCGCGUGAGGGAUGGAGGCCUUCGGGUUGUGAACCUCUUUCGGUCAUGGUCAAGCCGCAACAAUGGUUGUGGUGAGGGUAGUGGGUAAAGAAGCGCCGGCUAACUACGUG